Molecule: ribosomal RNA, 281 nt
Filed under: uncultured bacterium
Lineage: Bacteria
Description: partial 16S ribosomal RNA
Rfam family: Bacterial small subunit ribosomal RNA
Source: RNAcentral
AACGUGCCCAGUCGUGGGGGAUAACGUAGAGAAAUUUACGCUAAUACCGCAUACGAUCUAAGGAUGAAAGCGGGGGACCGUAAGGCCUCGCGCGAUUGGAGCGGCUGAUAUCAGAUUAGCUUGUUGGUGAGGUAAAAGCUCACCAAGGCGACGAUCUGUAGCUGGUUUGAGAGAACGACCAGCCACACUGGGACUGAGACACGGCCCAGACUCCUACGGGAGGCAGCAGUGGGGAAUUUUGGACAAUGGGCGAAAGCCUGAUCCAGCAAUGCCGCGUGUGG